This 807-nucleotide ribosomal RNA is filed under the name Triticum aestivum (bread wheat). RNAcentral's name for it is "partial small subunit ribosomal RNA". The record is from RNAcentral. Lineage: Eukaryota; Viridiplantae; Streptophyta; Magnoliopsida; Poales; Poaceae.
AUGAUCAAUGGCUCUUUAGGACGAAGCAUCAAGUCUAAAAGCGGGUUAAGGCAGGGGGACGCUAUCUCGCCAUAUUUGUUCAUCUUGGUAGCAGAUGUGCAGCAGCAUCUAUGCCGCUUGGAGCACAGCUCGGGGAGAUUAAAAAAACCAUUGGGCGUGGAUGCUUUCUUCCCAACACUUCAGUACGCGGAUGACACGCUUAUUCUUUUCCAGGGGGAUGUUGAACAAGCAAGGAUCAUCAAGCAAGUGCUACAGGACUUCUCCAGUUUCACAGGGCUGCAAAUAAAUUUCUCAAGAAGCACUCUAGUCCCUAUAUGUGUGGAUCAAGAUACUAGUACAGAAAUUGCCAAACUGCUGCAAUGCCCGAUAUCAGCCUUCCCCUGCACUUACCUUGGACUCCCGUUAUCAUUUCACAAGAUCUCACAUGGUCUUCUGAUCCCUGUCAUACACAAGGUAGACAAACGCUUGUCAGGAUGGCUUGCAACUUUUCUAUCCUGGGAAGGCCGAGUUACCCUCAUAAACUCGGUCUUGGCGGCCAUUCCCAAUUAUUUCAUGGCCUGCUUUCUAUGGCCAGCGAAAUCAAUGGACAAGCUGGAGCAAAUUUUGAGAGGCUUCCUUUGGCAGGGUAAAAAUUCAGUUAAGGGCGGGCAUUGCUUGGUUGCAUGGGAAACAGUGAUCACACCCAAGAAUAAUGGAGGUUUGGGCAUUAGAGACCUCAGGGAUCACAACAUGGCAAUGAUAUGCAAACUCAUGUCUAAUAUUUUGCAACACAGUGAAGUCCCAUGCUUCAACUGGUUUGUCUCAUAA